UUUCCGUAGGUGAACCUGCGGAAGGAUCAUUAAUGAAGUCUGGGCUCCGGCCCUCUCUCUUCUACACACCUGUGAAUCUACCCUGUUGCUUUGGCAGGUCUCCAGAGGGUCCGCGGUGCUUCUGCGUCGCUCCCGAAGGUUAAACCGUGAGGUGCCUGCCAAGGACAUUAUAUCACCCUUUUUCAAUCGUCUGAUUUUUUAAACAAAAAAUAAAGAUAAAACUUUCAACAAUGGAUCUCUUGGCUCUGGCAUCGAUGAAGAACGCAGC
Molecule: unclassified non-coding RNA, 268 nt
Filed under: uncultured fungus
Lineage: Eukaryota; Fungi
Description: sequence contains ITS1, 5.8S rRNA gene
Rfam family: 5.8S ribosomal RNA (bases 220-268)
Source: RNAcentral